ACUCCUACGGGAGGCAGCAGUGGGGAAUAUUGCACAAUGGGCGCAAGCCUGAUGCAGCCAUGCCGCGUGUAUGAAGAAGGCCUUCGGGUUGUAAAGUACUUUCAGCAGUGAGGAAGGCGGAGUCGUUAAUAGCGGCCUCGUUUGACGUUAGCUGCAGAAGAAGCACCGGCUAACUCCGUGCCAGCAGCCGCGGUAAUACGGAGGGUGCGAGCGUUAAUCGGAAUUACUGGGCGUAAAGCGCAUGCAGGUGGUUUGUUAAGUCAGAUGUGAAAGCCCGGGGCUCAACCUCGGAAUUGCAUUUGAAACUGGCAGACUAGAGUACUGUAGAGGGGGGUAGAAUUUCAGGUGUAGCGGUGAAAUGCGUAGAGAUCUGAAGGAAUACCGGUGGCGAAGGCGGCCCCCUGGACAGAUACUGACACUCAGAUGCGAAAGCGUGGGGAGCAAACA
This 447-nucleotide ribosomal RNA is filed under the name uncultured bacterium. RNAcentral's name for it is "bacterial SSU rRNA". It matches the Rfam family "Bacterial small subunit ribosomal RNA", at positions 335 to 774 of the family's 1533-position model. The record is from RNAcentral.